UUUUUUUUUUUUUGUCAAAACAUUUGUGCCGCGUCACUGGAUUUCGUCGGCCAGUUGCUUCAGGGAGCUCACGGAUUUGUUGUCCGUCGCCACAAACCUCCCGCCGGUAAGCCGGGGGAAUCACAUUGCGAUGGUCGAGUCGGUGUAGGCAGGAGCAGGCAAAAGAUGAGGCGGUGCAGGGGAGAAUGGCUCCCCGCGCCGUACAUCAUCUCCGUGCUGCUCUUCCUACCAAUGGCCUGCGGACGAUUGCUCAUUGGCGCAAGCGACACGUCGCCGCCACCUGCGCUGACACCAACCUUCAUCAAGCAAGUUGACGAUUGGGUGAGUAAAUUUUCUAUGUAUUUCAUCGCACUCGGUAGUAACAUCUGUACUGAGAUGGUGUCAUUCCAUAGUUUGUGAUCAAGACCAAAAGUAGUUUAGUUUUGGUCAUCUUAAGAAGUGAGAAUUAACUUAUUAAGUACUCCCUCUGUAAACAAAUAUAAGAGCGUUUAGAUCACUACUUUAGUGAUCUAAACGCUCCGAUAUUUCUUUACGGAGGGGGUAUCAAUCCUUUUGUUAGAGAAAAAACCGGUUCAGGAAGGCAGGAAUUGCCACCAUCGAGACCAUAGAAUGAUAGAAUUGCAAGGAUUGCCCGGCUAUAUUUCUGAUAUGGUGUUUAGGUUGGUGCCCUCUCUCUAUCAGCGCAUAGGGUCCACAUGUAUGAGCUCAUGAUGCCGGCAUUCAGAAUUGUCAUAUGGUGCUCUUCGAAUUACCUGUGACAGAAGAGAUAAGAUCACUGAAUUUCUAGUGGUUCCCAGAGGCCACAGCUGUUUAUGAUUUUACUGCAUUGAAAAUACUGACUAAUACAGAUUAAAACCCUGCAAGCAGAAGCAGAGAUUUUGAAACAAAUUAUUAACGUUCCCUCCUGUUAGGUACACAUCACUGCACUGGUCGAACAUCUUUAUGCGCUGAUGAUAUCUUAAAUUUUAAUUAUUACUGCUUAUUUAAUGAGUAGCAUGUGUCGGAUUAACUCUGUUAUUAUUGGUAUGAUGCAUGUAGACUUAUUUUUUCCUUAAGUAAGGAAUGUGAUGAUAAUAUGAUAUUGUUCGCAAAUAUAAGAUGUUCUAACUUUUUUCUCAAUCGGAUGUAUAUAGACAUGUUUUAGUGUGUUUGUUCACUAAUUUCAAAUUUCAGUCUGUAUGUAGUCCAUUUUGAAAUAUCCAAAAUAUCUUAUAUUUGUGAACAGAGGGAAUAGUCUCUAACUGCUGACUCUCACUGGUACUUCAUGGUAGUUUAUAUUUUUAAUGGUCUGGUUUAUCAUAUUAUUAUUCUGAAAAGGAUGCACACCCAGUUUAUCUCAUCAGGAUCUGUUAUUGAUUAAUUUUCACGUACUGACAAGGGUGACCACUCGUUAUGAUAUCUAUAGGUGGAACACGCGUGGCUCAAAUGUGGAUUGGACAAGAAAAGCCUUCAAGAUGUUAGAAACUACUACAACUACAACCAUGUACUUGAUAUCAUCCAUAGGAUAUCUGAUAAUAAGGGAACUUCCCCUGUCAUUGCAAAAGGUGCAGGCCCAUUGACACCAGAUAUCAAGCAAACUUUGCUGACCUGCUUAAGCAAACAGAAUUUUGAGGUUCCAAAAAACCUACCCGAUGGUUAUAUCAAAACACUUAUCGCCUCAAUAAGAGGAGAGCUGACUCCGGGACCUGCUCCUGCAAAUGAAGCAGUAAAACCUCCGACAGGGAAACCAGCUGACGGUGCUUCAUCAGAAGCAACUACAAAAAAGGCAGUGCCUGCAACUAAAUCAGUGGGGAAAAAAGACAGCGAUGGCAUGCCAACUACCACUAUCGUUGGUGUGUCCCUGGUUGUUAUCGCACUUUUAGCUCUUCUCUGCGUUGGCUGCUGCAUGUUCCGUGAAAGCCAGAGUUCUGCGGCUUCUGCCUAUGAUAAUAAGCAACUCCUGAAUCUAUGUAAUGUCUUGUAUCAUCCAUUUUGCUCCAAGUCAACGUUUUUCUUUCUUCUAUCACUGACUUUUAUGCUUUCAUUUGCAGCGGAUUCUUGCAAGUCUUCCAGUGUAAAUCUAAUAGAUGUCACUAAGCUGGGAGCAUUGCCAUUGCAGUCAGAGGCUGGCCAAAAUGGCCAUGUGAAUCAAAGUUCACAGGAAGGCCCAAACACUGAUCAAAUUGACUAUGUGAGACUAAGUUCACAGGAAGGCCCAAACACUGAUCAAAAUAACCAUGUGAAACUAAGCUCACAGGAAGACGCAAACACUGGUCAAAUUAGCUAUGUGAAACUAAGCUCACAGGAAGACCCAACCAGUGGUCGAAAUAGUGAUGCGAAGCUAACUUCGCAGGAAGACCCAAACACUGGCCAAAAUAACCAUGUGAAGCUCACUUCGCAGGAAAGUGUAAACACUGAUCCAGCAAUCUACAGCAGUUCCGCCGAGCCAAUGGCUGCUUCUGUUGGUUCUGUGCAAGGAUCAACACCAAUGCCCCAACCAAUGAUUCCACCUCCAGCACAUCCUCAAGUACUUGCGCCUCAACCAAAGGCUCCUCCUUCACCACCAGCUCCUCAAGCACUUGAGCCGCCUCCGAAUGCUUCUCCAGUUCUUUCCUCUGGACCUUCACCGCCACCAGCUCCAAAAGCCUCCCCGCCUCCGCCCUCAGGACCCUCACCGCCUACUGCUCCAAAAGCUGCACCACCACCACCACCACCAUCAAAAUCUGGUGGACCUCUCCCGCCACCACCAGCGCUGCCUGGUUCUUCCAAAAUGCGUCCACCACCACUUAUGAAGUCAGGCAAUAAAACAGACACAGAUGCGGAUUCUAGUGAAGCUAAAACAAAGCUUAAGCCCUUCUUUUGGGAUAAAGUAGCAACAAAUGCUAAUAAAUCAAUGGUGUGGGAUCACCUUAAAGCUGGAUCAUUCCAGUAAGUUGGUAGAGAUAGCUGAGCUAUAUAUCUAGUUAUCUACUACUAUUGUAAGAUCGCACCAUUUUAUAACUAAAUGGUACUUCUUCACAGGUUAAGUGAGGACGCUAUUGAAACACUUUUUGGUUGUAAUGCUGACAAGAAGAGCGGUGAUGGCAAAAAAGAUUUAACAUCAAAGGAAGCUGCCCAAGUUGUGAGGAUACUUGAUCCUAAAAAGGCACAGAAUCUGGCCAUAUCAUUGAAGGCGUUGAGUGUUUCAGCAGAGGAAGUUUCUUGUGCAGUUAAGGAAGGUAAGUUUAUACUGUGCAAGUGCAUAGCUCUUCCUGGACGAAAUGCGGCUUCUUCUGAUUCUUGCCAGUCUUGUAGAUACAGUUAUUUUAUUUUAUUUUUGGGCAAAGCUCCAGUUUUUUUUAAGUUGCAGUGAUACAUCGAAUACUUAUCCAGCUUCUGGUCUAUAACUCCAUGCAAUAAUAUAUCAGCUGCGUAUAUCAUUUGUGUCUUCACAAUCAGGAGUUACGGCUAUUCUUCUGUGCUAAGGACAAUGAAUCACUUGAUUUCAUUUGUUUCUUCUAUUUUUCAAAGCAAAUAGUACACAUUUCUGCUAAACUGAUGUGAGUCUUGUCCUCUAGGUUAACUCUAAUUCUUUAGCUAAUAACAAAGUCAGCAAGAGUAUGUAGCACACAAGUGAUGUCAAAUGCUCAAAUCGGCAUUUGGUUCUAGACUUAACCACAUUUGUGUGCAUCUGGCCUCCAUAUUUUGGGAAUGGACGCCUCAAGCAUGGGUUCAUGUGCUUCUGACUAUUCUAUUUGGACAUUUAGAACAAAGAACAUGUUGAUUAAAUCCUAUUUCCUGAUAACAUCUUUUGCCUUAUCAAUUUCCCUCGAUAAUUUGUAGGAAAUGAACUUCCAUCCGACUUGAUACAGACCUUAAUUAGAUGGGUCCCGAAUACUGAUGAGGAGCUCAGGCUUCGACUAUAUACUGGGGAACUCUCACAGCUUGGUCCUGCAGAGCAGUUCUUAAAAGCAAUCUUCGACAUUCCUUAUAUCUAUGAGCGCCUGGAUGCAUUACUUUUCAUGGCUGGUUUACCAGAGGAAGCUUCAAAUGUAAAGCAAUCUUUUGCCACCUUAGAGGUAAUAGCAUUACCAUUAUGACCUACUCCCUCUGUUCCUUUAUAUAAGGUGUAUUUCUUUUUUGAUAAAAUUCCAGAAUGUAAGGUGUAUUUCUUCUAAUUUCUCAUAAUUCCCUUGUUAGCCCUCCAGAAAUAUGGAAAGUAUCUCUCUGAUGAUUGUCUAUAUCUCUCCUUAUAGCAAAAGAAGGAAACUAUCUAUCUGCCAAUUGCAUGUAUCUCUUACUUUCCUAAAGUUAUUGAUUUAUUUGCCACUACCCAAUAAAUUGGCCAAGGGUAAUUUUGUCCUAACAUGUCUAUAAUUAUGUGCCUUGGUCACCGUGCCAAAAAUAACACACCUUACAUAAAGGAACGGAGGGAGUAUUUGGCUUCCACACUAUAUUCAGUUCUGUUGUAUGACUUGUAUCAGUUUUGUUUGAUGCUCUAUAAUCCUUUAACCGAUGAACAUUUUUAUCAAGUAAUAAUAGAGAUUAUCGUUGUGUAGACGUUACCACUCUUCCUGCACCUUGAUGUUUCUACUGAUCUUCUUAUCUCUGCUAUGUUGGCAUUUAAAUCCUGAUCAGAUGGCUUGUGAGGAGCUUAAAAACAGCCGUCUAUUCUUGAAGUUACUAGAAGCUGUACUUAAAACAGGCAACCGGAUGAAUGUUGGCACGUUCCGAGGAGGAGCUCAAGCGUUCAAACUAGACACCCUGCUCAAGCUUUCCGACGUCAAAGGAACUGAUGGGAAGAUAACGCUGCUGCAUUUUGUUGUUCAAGAGAUAAUCCAUUCUGAAGGUGUCCGUUCUGCACGGGCUGCAAAGGAGCAGAAGGGCAGCGUAUCCAGUGUGGACAACAAUGAUCUUAUUGAAGAGGAGUAUAAACAACUAGGUCUGCAGGUUGUGUCCAGUUUAGGAGAUGAACUUCAAAAUGUCAGGAAUGCAGCAAUCCUUGAUGCAGAUCAGUUGACUAGGUCGAUAACAAGUGUUGGCCACAGGCUCGGCAAAACCAAAGAAUUCUUGAACACAAGCAUGAAAAGUCUGGAUGAAGAUAGUGGGUUUCACCGCAAGCUUGUGCAUUUCGUGGAGCAGUCUCAAACUGAUGUUACUUUCCUGCUAGAGGAAGAGAAGAAAAUACGGUCCUUGGUAAAGAGCACUGUCGAUUAUUUCCAUGGGAGGACAGGGAAGGAUGAGGGCCUUCGGUUAUUUGUCGUAGUGCGGGAUUUUCUCGCAAUGCUUGACAAGGUGUGCAAUGAGGUGAAAGAAGCAUCAAAAGUAGCUCCAAAGAAAACGAAGACUGAAGUUACUCUGCCUUCCCGCACACCCAGGUCUUUUCAAGAUCCCCGGCGUAACCUUUUUCCGGCAAUUAAAGACCGGAGGGCACAUAGUUCAAGCUCUAGUUCUGACGAGGGAAGUUAACUCUAAACGAAGGUACUCUGCCUACCUUUUCCUUCCAGCGCUUGGAGGUUUGCCCUUUGAAAACAUUAGUAAGACGAGAUGAAAAAUGAGAGCUAAAGAAAAAGCAAGAGAUAGAAAAUUGACGAUAAAGCGAACUCUGGCUUUGGUCACUUGUUGCAGCAACAGAAUAAAAUUGCUGAAGGAAGGCAGUCAUCUUCCAUAACGUCCUUGACAGGCAAUUGUUGCACUUUGGCUCCUAUCAAACAAGCAAAGGUGAUAUUCAUGAUCAAGAUGGAGAAGUCGAAACGGAAGCCGUCGAAAGGGGCGGCGAAGAAAACUGACCCCUUAGUUAGGGCGGGCGUGCAGAACAGGGAGGGAGGAAGAAGCAGCAGGCUGGCUGACUGACUCUGACACUGCCUGCUGUUUUUUCGCUUAGCAUUUGUACCAUCACAGAAAGGAGAGGAAUAAAUACAGUAUUUUUUUUAGGGGAAUAGUGUGUUAGAAAGAAAGAGAUGCACCACACAGGCUCAUAGACAUUGGAUUCUUUUGCCUGCGCUUGACAAUACUUUUGCAAAGAGCAACGCUGUAAAUUGCCAUGCUUUCAACUGAAACAUCCUGUGUGUUCGCGUCAUGUGAGUAUAAUCUGGGCGACUUGGUGUGCCUUUUGCAAUGUGGAGUGAGACCUGGUACCAGAUUCGCACUGCUGUGCUGUCGUCGCUUCGUUUCCUCUAUCUGUACCUACCGUUUCCGCACCGUCUGGAUAGUCAGGGCGCUCAAAACAAUGUGCAGCGCUGCUAUAUUUGGAGUGAUAAUUGUUUCAUCUCCGUGCCAUUUCUCUAGGGAAUCCUUUUUUAUCCCAGCUGGUGUUAGAUCGCAAGUAUUUCCCGCCUAAGCACUGUUUCCAAAUGUCUUGGCUCAUCAAAAACUUGGCCAUACAAAAUCCACAACUCCCCGCCAAAAUUCCAUUAUCCCUAACUCGAUCCAUAGCACACCUAUGGAUUGUAAAGGAAAGCACAUCCGUAGUCGAAAAGUUACCAAGACUAAUGCCAAAAUACAGCUUCACAGAUUAAUUUUAGUAAGUAUUUCACAGCUAUAUCGAGUUUUCUAACCAUGAAAGAAUUAAGCAAGAAUAGACCAUGGAAAUUUUCAACCAAGAACAGAGUGGUAGAAAUUCGCAAGUAAGCAAUCCAUAGGUGCAACUUUUAUAGAACGAACUAGCAACGACUUACACAGGAUGUAACCAUUGUCCACACCUAGUUUAGCACCGGUACAAGCACACAGAUUCAGAAACUAAUAGUAGUACUAACAUCCUAGAAGUAAAACGCAACACCUAGGCAACAUUUAACUGAACACGCUACUACACAGAACUGGAUACAGCCGAGCACCCACGACCACCGAGGAGUCGUCAUCUAG
This 6819-nucleotide long non-coding RNA is filed under the name Triticum aestivum (bread wheat). RNAcentral's name for it is "long non-coding RNA (TAES_LNC020489)". The record is from RNAcentral. Lineage: Eukaryota; Viridiplantae; Streptophyta; Magnoliopsida; Poales; Poaceae.